UUAGUUUGGCCCAGGACCUAUCAGAGGCUGAAGUGAAAGGUUGGCCCAGGACCUUGGCCCAGGACCAAUCAAGGGCUGAGGUGAUGAUUCAUAGAAGCCGGACUUACACUCCUCCUAAAGGAAAGUAGAGCGCCCACCGAACGCACCAGAGCCCACCGUUCCCAUACCCACAAAAGGAGAAGAAACUUUUCCGGGGAGCCUACUGACUAUACAAAGGAAAAGACAUUUCUAUGACAGACCUUCUUCCCUUAUCUGAAUGAGCUGGAGGUUUCUGCAACAUUUUUAUCCAAAUGGGCUGGAGUGCCCACAUGGGAGGACCUAGCAUAAUUUCUAACAGCCUGGGACUUCUUGGGAAAAACAGAAAAAAACGCCAUUUGGAGGAAACUCUGUUCUCAUCAAGGAAACUCAAUGGCUGUAAGCUUUUACAUUGUGUUGUUUCAUCUUUUUAGCUUUUGAGGGUACCAGUAAUUACUUUGUAUUGUGAGAAAAUUUUUAACCUUGACGUAUGUAAUAGCUAAAUUAAAGGUAUUCCUUUAGAGAUAGCUAUUGGCAUUUGCUUCAAGCAAAGUGUACGGUUGAGCAUGUAGAAGGUAUAGAAAAAUCCUGACUCCCCACUGAGGGAUGAGAUUCCUAAGGGAGAUGGGCUAAUUACAGAGCGGAUUAACUGGCAUUGGGUUGCUGAUAUGGUUUGGCUGUAUCUCCACCCAAAUCUCAUCCUGAAUUGUAACUCCCACAAUCCCCACAUGUCAUGGGAGGAACCUGGUAGGAGGUGAUUGAAUUAUGGCGGGGAGGGGCUUUCCUGUGCUGUUGUCAUGAUAAUGAAUGAGUCUUACGAGAUCUGAUGGUUUUAAAAAUGAGAGUUUCCCUGCACAACCUCUCUCUGCGCCUGCCACCGUCCAUGUAAGAUGUGACUUGCGUCUCCUUGCCAUCUGCUUUGAUUGUGUGGCCUCUCCAGCCAUGUGGAACUAAGUUUUCUUGCCUCAUCUGAAUUUUCGAUGUCCCUGCCGCCUCAGAGAAUUUCAAGCUUUUGACAGCAAGAUAUGAAUCAUAUUAAUUUCUAUACGCAUUAAAAAAAAGAAACUCAACCUUUUUAUUACCUGAAGCAAUUCAGUGGAAUUUAUUAAACAAACAGUUAUUUUUG
Chlorocebus sabaeus (green monkey) is the source of this 1141-nucleotide long non-coding RNA. RefSeq lists it as uncharacterized. The record is from RefSeq and is a predicted model, not a curated record. Lineage: Eukaryota; Metazoa; Chordata; Mammalia; Primates; Cercopithecidae.